This 441-nucleotide ribosomal RNA is filed under the name uncultured bacterium. RNAcentral describes it as "partial 16S ribosomal RNA". It matches the Rfam family "Bacterial small subunit ribosomal RNA", at positions 338 to 795 of the family's 1533-position model. The record is from RNAcentral.
CCUACGGGCGGCAGCAGUGGGGAAUAUUGCACAAUGGGGGAAACCCUGAUGCAGCAACGCCGCGUGAAGGAAGACGGUUUUCGGAUUGUAAACUUCUGUUCUUAGUGAAGAAUAAUGACGGUAGCUAAGGAGCAAGCCACGGCUAACUACGUGCCAGCAGCCGCGGUAAGACGUAGGUGGCAAGCGUUGUCCGGAAUUACUGGGUGUAAAGGGAGCGCAGGCGGGAAGCCAAGUCAGCUGUGAAAACUACGGGCUUAACUUGUAGACUGACGUUGAAACUGGUUUUCUUGAGUGAAGUAGAGGUUGGCGGAAUUCCGAGUGUAGCGGUGAAAUGCGUAGAUAUUCGGAGGAACACCGGUGGCGAAGGCGGCCAACUGGGCUUUAACUGACGCUGAGGCUCGAAAGUGUGGGGAGCAAACAGGAUUAGAUACACGUGUAGUC